This 75-nucleotide transfer RNA is filed under the name Berkelbacteria bacterium GW2011_GWE1_39_12. RNAcentral's name for it is "tRNA-Asp". It matches the Rfam family "tRNA". Rfam says of the family: Transfer RNA (tRNA) molecules are approximately 80 nucleotides in length. Their secondary structure includes four short double-helical elements and three loops (D, anti-codon, and T loops). Lineage: Bacteria; Candidatus Berkelbacteria. The record is from RNAcentral.
GGGCUCGUAGCUUAGCCGGUUCAAAGCGCCUCCCUGUCACGGAGGAGAUCGCCGGUUCGAAUCCGGUCGAGCCCG